This 71-nucleotide transfer RNA is filed under the name Loxodonta africana (African savanna elephant). It matches the Rfam family "tRNA". From Rfam's summary of the family: Transfer RNA (tRNA) molecules are approximately 80 nucleotides in length. Their secondary structure includes four short double-helical elements and three loops (D, anti-codon, and T loops). The record is from Rfam by way of RNAcentral. Lineage: Eukaryota; Metazoa; Chordata; Mammalia; Proboscidea; Elephantidae.
GCAGCGGUAGUUCAGUAGCAGAAUUCCCGUCUUCCACACGGGAGACCCAGGUUCAAUUCCCAGCCAGUGUA